RNAcentral lists this ribosomal RNA (265 nucleotides) under uncultured prokaryote. RNAcentral describes it as "partial 16S ribosomal RNA". It matches the Rfam family "Bacterial small subunit ribosomal RNA", at positions 524 to 788 of the family's 1533-position model. The record is from RNAcentral.
UACGUAGGUGGCGAGCGUUGUCCGGAUUUACUGGGCGUAAGGGGAGCGUAAGCGGACUUUUAAGUGAGAUGUGAAAUACCCGGGCUCAACUUGGGUGCUGCAUUUCAAACUGGAAGUCUAGAGUGCAGGAGAGGAGAAUGGAAUUCCUAGUGUAGCGGUGAAAUGCGUAGAGAUUAGGAAGAACACCAGUGGCGAAGGCGAUUCUCUGGACUGUAACUGACGCUGAGGCUCGAAAGCGUUGGGAGCAAACAGGAUUAGAUACCCU